Molecule: ribosomal RNA, 497 nt
Filed under: uncultured bacterium
Lineage: Bacteria
Description: partial 16S ribosomal RNA
Rfam family: Bacterial small subunit ribosomal RNA
Source: RNAcentral
GAUGAACGCUGGCGGCGUGCCUAAUACAUGCAAGUCGGGCGAACGGACGAGAAGCUUGCCUCUCUGAUGUUAGCGGCGGACGGGUGAGUAACACGUGGAUAACCUACCUAUAAGACUGGGAUAACUUCGGGAAACCGGAGCUAAUACCGGAUAAUAUUUUGAACCGCAUGGUUCAAAAGUGAAAGACGGUCUUGCUGUCACUUAUAGAUGGAUCCGCGCUGCAUUAGCUAGUUGGUAAGGUAACGGCUUACCAAGGCAACGAUGCAUAGCCGACCUGAGAGGGUGAUCGGCCACCCUGGAACUGAGACACGGUCCAGACUCCUACGGGAGGCAGCAGUAGGGAAUCUUCCGCAAUGGGCGAAAGCCUGACGGAGCAACGCCGCGUGAGUGAUGAAGGUCUUCGGAUCGUAAAACUCUGUUAUUAGGGAAGAACAUAUGUGUAAGUAACUGUGCACAUCUUGACGGUACCUAAUCAGAAAGCCACGGCUAACUACGUG